UGGGAGAGCCACCCCAUUAAGCAGACUGGAACUGCUUUUUAUUCAAUAGUAAACGGUCUGAGUGGGACAUCUUCAUUUAUCCACAAUCUUUGGCUGUACUGCUCCAACAGCUUUUUCAUAUUUUUCAGGCCCAUCCACUGGUUUCCUGGCUAUUGCCACGACAACACAGAAGAGAUUAUGAGGUUCUCAUCGCCUGUCCCUCCAUCCUCCAUCCCUGAUCCCUGAUGACUGUGUCAUCAUGCUCUCCGUAGCCAAUGUGAGUAAGACCUUUAAACAGGUUAACAUUCACAAGGCCGCAGGGCCAGACGGAUUACCAGGAUGCGGACUCAGAGCAGGCGCGGACCAGCUGGCAAGUGUCUUCACUGACAUUUUCAACCUCUCCCUGACCCAUUCUGCCCAAGAACACAAAGAUCCAGAUCCACAGAUGACGCAAUAUUUAUUGCACUCUACACUGCCCUCUCCCACCUGGACAAGAGGAAGACCUAUGUGAGAAUGCUGUUCAUUGACUACAGCUCAGGGUUCAACACCAUAGUGCCCUCCAAGCUCAUCACUAAGCUAAGGACACUGGGACUGAACACCUCCCUCUGCAACUGGAUCGUGGACUUCCUGACAGGCCGCCCCCAGGCGGUGAGGGAAGGCAACAACAGAUCCACCAGGCUGACCCUCAAGACGUGGGCCCCUCAAGGAUGCGUGCUUAGUCCCAUACUGUACUCCCUGAUCACACACGACUGUGUGGCCAUGCAUGACUCCAACACUAUCAUUAAGUUUGCUGAUGACACAAUGGUGGUAGACCUGAUCAGUGACAACGAUGAGACAGCCAACAGGGAGGAGGUCAGAGACCUGGCAGUGUGGUGCCAGAACAACAACCUCUCCCUUAACGUCAGCAUGACAAAGGAGCUGAUCGUGGACUACAGGAAACAGAGUGCCAGGCACGCAUCCAUUCACAUCAACGGGGCUGUAGUGGAGCAGGUCGAGAGCGUCAAAUUCCUCAGUGUCUACAUCACUAAGGAUCUAUCAUGGUCCACACACACCAACACAGUCGUAAAGAUGGCACAACAAUACCUCUUCCCCCUCAGGAGACUGAAAAGAUUUGGCAUGGUCCCUCAGAUCCUCAAAAAGUUCUACAGAAGCACCAUUGAGAGCAUUUUGAC
RNAcentral lists this long non-coding RNA (1151 nucleotides) under Salmo salar (Atlantic salmon). RNAcentral describes it as "lncRNA (ENSSSAG00000071351.2, ENSSSAG00075062880.1)". The record is from RNAcentral. Lineage: Eukaryota; Metazoa; Chordata; Actinopteri; Salmoniformes; Salmonidae.